Acanthosepion pharaonis is the source of this 112-nucleotide non-coding RNA. The record is from the annotation of a GenBank genome assembly. NCBI's taxonomy places the organism in Eukaryota, Metazoa, Mollusca, Cephalopoda, Sepiida, Sepiidae.
UUGCGGCCACAUCAUGUUUAAACUCCGGUUCCCGUACGAUCAUCGAAGUUAAGCAACGCCUAGCCCGUUCAGUACCUAGAUAAGUGGCCGCUUGGGAAUACUAGGCGCUAUA